This is a small nucleolar RNA of Cervus hanglu yarkandensis (Yarkand deer), 216 nucleotides long. NCBI's taxonomy places the organism in Eukaryota, Metazoa, Chordata, Mammalia, Artiodactyla, Cervidae. The record is from Ensembl.
AAGACUAUACUUUCAGGGAUCAUUUCUAUAGUUUGUUUUUAGAGAAGUUUCUCUGAUCGUGUAGAGCACCCGAAACCACGAGGAGGAGAUGCAGCGUUCUCUCCUGAGCGUGAAGUUGGCUCUUGUUGUUGCUUUUGCAGCUGCCAUUAGCCAUUGAUGAUCGUUCUUCUUUUCCUUUUUGGAAAUGAAGAGGGAGAGAACGUAGUCUGAGUGGCA